This is a long non-coding RNA of Hipposideros armiger (great roundleaf bat), 652 nucleotides long. RefSeq lists it as uncharacterized. The transcript is spliced from 3 exons. The record is from RefSeq and is a predicted model, not a curated record. Lineage: Eukaryota; Metazoa; Chordata; Mammalia; Chiroptera; Hipposideridae.
CGCGGGGCACCCGCCCGCGCCGCUGCCCGGAACCCCGCGCCCCCAGGCGCGCGGGGACCGCGCCGCCUCCGGAGCUCGGCGUGAAGACGCGCCGCGCAGCUCCCGGGAUGGGGCAGAGUUUGCGCCCGGCCUCCGGCACGCUGGCCGCGGGCGUCCGCGGGGAGGACCCGGGAGCAGAGCCCGGGGGCCGCCGCGGUCCCGGCUUCGGGGCCCCUCCCCCACCCGGGCGCCUCCUCUCCUCGCUCCGCGGCCCUGCCCGGGCACCCCCGUCGCGGCACCCCGGACCUCCGCCUCCAGGUUACUCUUGGAGCAAAGGCUGAUGUGAAGGGAGUUCUGCAGCAAUUGGGAGACUCCCACCCAGAGGUCACAGGGCUGCUGGAGGCCCCGGGGAACUGGGAGCAGAGGGGGUGCAGCCCAAGGCACGGGGCGCCGUUGGGCCCAGGAAGCGAUGAGUUCAGAGCAGCACCGAGUCGGACGAUCUGAACAGACUGCCUGGGAGACAUGACCUGCGAUGGAAAAGUCAGGCAGGGUGUGGGGUGCGACCAUCUGUCCUGAGCGCAGGCCUCAGAAAAAACAACGUAAAUUGAAAAACAAUAGGCUGUCCGUGAAAUCCAUCUACUGUCCCCCGAGCUGGCUCCUAAUGUCCCCAGCG